Molecule: non-coding RNA, 97 nt
Organism: Drosophila melanogaster (fruit fly)
Lineage: Eukaryota; Metazoa; Arthropoda; Insecta; Diptera; Drosophilidae
Gene: mir-955
Source: Ensembl
GGCCAGCUAAUCAACUCCAUCGUGCAGAGGUUUGAGUGUCCUGUGUUUUGCCUAAUCGCAUUCAAUUUCUGAACGGUAGAGAUGGUACGCUUAGAAA